CGUGCCGCGUUGCCGGCCGGCGUACAGGUGCUGCAUGGCUGUCGUCAGCUCGUGCUGUGAAGUGUUGGGUUAACGUCCCGCAACGAGCGCAACCCCUGCUGCCUGUUGCCACCACGAGAGGUGGGGACUCAGGCGGGACCGCCGGUGACAAACCGGAGGAAGGGUGGGGACGACGUCAAGUCAUCAUGGCCCUUAUGUCCUGGGCUACACACGUGCUACAAUGGCCGGUACAGAGCGCAGCGAGGCCGCGAGGCGGAGCGAAUCGCUUAAAGCCGGUCCCAGUACGGAUUGGAGUCUGCAACCCGACUCCAUGAAGUUGGAAUCGCUAGUAAUCGCGCAUCAGCAUGGCGCGGUGAAUACGUUCCCGGGCCUU
RNAcentral lists this ribosomal RNA (373 nucleotides) under uncultured Spirochaeta sp. RNAcentral describes it as "bacterial SSU rRNA". It matches the Rfam family "Bacterial small subunit ribosomal RNA", at positions 1011 to 1382 of the family's 1533-position model. Lineage: Bacteria; Pseudomonadati; Spirochaetota; Spirochaetia; Spirochaetales; Spirochaetaceae. The record is from RNAcentral.